AACAGGAUUAGAUACCCUGGUAGUCCACGCCCUAAACGAUGUCUACUAGUUGUCGGGUCUUAAUUGACUUGGUAACGCAGCUAACGCGUGAAGUAGACCGCCUGGGGAGUACGGUCGCAAGAUUAAAACUCAAAGGAAUUGACGGGGACCCGCACAAGCGGUGGAUGAUGUGGAUUAAUUCGAUGCAACGCGAAAAACCUUACCUACCCUUGACAUGGCUGGAAUCCUCGAGAGAUUGAGGAGUGCUCGAAAGAGAACCAGUACACAGGUGCUGCAUGGCUGUCGUCAGCUCGUGUCGUGAGAUGUUGGGUUAAGUCCCGCAACGAGCGCAACCCUUGUCAUUAGUUGCCACGAAAGGGCACUCUAAUGAGACUGCCGGUGACAAACCGGAGGAAGGUGGGGAUGACGUCAAGUCCUCAUGGCCCUUAUGGGUAGGGCUUCACACGUCAUACAAUGGUACAUACAGAGCGCCGCCAACCCGCGAGGGGGAGCUAAUCGCAGAAAGUGUAUCGUAGUCCGGAUUGUAGUCUGCAACUCGACUGCAUGAAGUUGGAAUCGCUAGUAAUCGCGGAUCAGCAUGUCGCGGUGAAUACGUUCCCGGGUCUUGUACACACCGCCCGUCACACCAUGGGAGCGGGUUUUACCAGAAGUAGGUAGCUUAACCGUAAGGAGGGCGCUUACCACGGUAGGAUUCGUGACUGGGGUGAAGUCGUAACAAGGUAACC
This 725-nucleotide ribosomal RNA is filed under the name uncultured bacterium. RNAcentral's name for it is "bacterial SSU rRNA". It matches the Rfam family "Bacterial small subunit ribosomal RNA", at positions 771 to 1501 of the family's 1533-position model. The record is from RNAcentral.